GGUACAAGGCAGUGGAUUGUGAAUCCACCAUGCGCG
RNAcentral lists this transfer RNA (36 nucleotides) under Vinca minor (lesser periwinkle). RNAcentral's name for it is "partial tRNA-His". The record is from RNAcentral. Lineage: Eukaryota; Viridiplantae; Streptophyta; Magnoliopsida; Gentianales; Apocynaceae.